CAAUGAAUACCGACCUUCAGCCGCACGCUGCGAGUACUGCCCGGAUGGCCUCCGGCAUGACCUCGCGUGCGCGCCGACCGGAAUCCCACCUUUCCGCUGGGUGACCGGAGCGUCGUGCCGUCCG
RNAcentral lists this small RNA (124 nucleotides) under Pseudoxanthomonas suwonensis 11-1. Its description in RNAcentral is "Xanthomonadaceae sRNA Xoo5". It matches the Rfam family "Xanthomonadaceae sRNA Xoo5". Lineage: Bacteria; Pseudomonadati; Pseudomonadota; Gammaproteobacteria; Lysobacterales; Lysobacteraceae. The record is from Rfam by way of RNAcentral.